RNAcentral lists this ribosomal RNA (453 nucleotides) under uncultured bacterium. Its description in RNAcentral is "bacterial SSU rRNA". It matches the Rfam family "Bacterial small subunit ribosomal RNA", at positions 340 to 786 of the family's 1533-position model. The record is from RNAcentral.
UACGGAAGGCAGCAGUGGGGAAUAUUGCACAAUGGGCGCAAGCCUGAUGCAGCCAUGCCGCGUGUAUGAAAAAGGCCUUCGGGUUGUAAAGUACUUUCAGUCGUGAGGAAGGUGUUAAGGUUAAUAACCUUAGCAAUUGACGUUAGCGACAGAAGAAGCACCGGCUAACUCCGUGCCGGCAGCCGCGGUAAUACGGAGGGUGCGAGCGUUAAUCGGAAUUACUGGGCGUAAAGGGCACGCAGGCGGUUAAUUAAGUUGGAUGUGAAAUCCCCGGGCUUAACCUGGGAAUGGCAUUCAAGACUGGUUAGCUAGAGUCUUGUAGAGGGGGUAGAAUUCCAUGUGUAGCGGUGAAAUGCGUAGAGAUGUGGAGGAAUACCGGUGGCGAAGGCGGCCCCUGGACAAAGACUGACGCUCAUGUGCGAAAGCGUGGGGAGCAAACAGGGAUUAGAUACC